Molecule: long non-coding RNA, 228 nt
Organism: Dermatophagoides pteronyssinus (European house dust mite)
Lineage: Eukaryota; Metazoa; Arthropoda; Arachnida; Sarcoptiformes; Pyroglyphidae
Source: RefSeq, a predicted model, not a curated record
GAUAAGAUGAAUUUACAAACAAAAAUCUGGUUGAUUUGAUUUUAAAUUUUUCUUUCUUGGAUCGACAAUUUUGGUGGCUACCUGAACACAGGCAAUCUUCUGUCCGAUUGGAUCGAUUGAAAAUCGAUUAUAUAGAUCAUUCGUUUAUUUACCGGAGGAUAAUAAGGACACGACGGAAAAAUAUUGCCAGAAUUACAAGGAUCGAUUUGUUGUUGAGGAAAAGGCAUU